CUUCAGCGAGCCGAGCCAGAGCGGGCGGUCCUCUGCGCGUUCCGCGCCGUAGGUGCCGAUCAGGGCCUGGGCCUC
Molecule: antisense RNA, 75 nt
Filed under: Streptomyces sp. NRRL S-1521
Lineage: Bacteria; Bacillati; Actinomycetota; Actinomycetes; Kitasatosporales; Streptomycetaceae
Description: ASpks TB sRNA
Rfam family: ASpks TB sRNA
Source: Rfam by way of RNAcentral